UUUCAGAUUGCCCAACUUCUAUAAAUAUUUAAAUAUUUACAUCACGUGUGAGGUUCUUCUUUGUAGUAUUGCGUACUUCAGCGUCCUGAGGUACUGAGGGACUGCUGUUGUUAUUUUGCUGUGGGAAGCAGGCCUCGAAAUCCCCAUCAGCAGUCCUGACUGAUCAAACUAACAGUUGAAACACACUGCUGACUGUGUAACACCUACGCACACACACACACAAUACUCUCUAAAAACACAGACCACAGUGAGCAUUCAGUUUUACACUGCAGAUGCAGACAAACACUUGAAGAAGUCCUUUUCAAAAACCACAUGCUUAAAUAUCUUCAAAUUAAAAACAGUAAAAACCGUCACAAAUUGUGUUCUGGUCCUAUUCUGUUUGUCCUUCCUCUGAGAGCUCAAAAGUCUCUCUCCAUGAUUUACACUCAAAAGCUAUAAUUGGAGUCUUUGAAAACCCUCUGGCUAAAAAAGUUUAUUUCAUCCCAAGUUUCUUCAGACACUCCAGAGACCUCCAGAACCUAGCAUUCAAAAACCCAAUAUUCAAAAAACCUAGCACAACAGGAGCCAACAUUCCAGAAUCCAUCAGUCCAGAAUUCAGCAUUCCAGAACCUGGCAUUCCAGGACCAGCAUUCUAAAACCUAGCACUCAGAACCCAGCAUUCCAGAACCAGGAAUUUUAGAACCCAGCACUCCUGGUAAUCACUGCAGAACCCAGCAUUCCAGAACAUUCAAGAUGUAGCAUUCUAGAACUCAAAAAUUUAGAAUAAAUCAUUGGACAACACAGCACUCUUGAAUCGUUUGCCACUGUUGCCAUAAAACAUAGUGACUGACAUUCAGUCUAUGUCUUUGUAAAAUGCCAAAUGAUGAAAUAUGGUUGUCUAUAUUUUGGACCCAAAAUCUGACCUGCAAAGUUCGAGAGAGCACAAAAAAGUUUCUUCAGGUACUCCAGAUACUUCCAGAACCCAGUUUUCAAAAGCCUAGCACAACAGGACCCAGCAUUCCAUCAUCCAUUUCUCCAGAACCUGGCCUUUCCUGAACCAGUUAUUUAAGAAUCUAUCACUCCACAACUCAGUAUUCUGGAACCUUGUACUCCAAACCCAGCAUUCUAGAACCAGGAAUUUUAGAACCCAGCACUCCUGGUAAUCAUGGCAGAACCCAGCAUUCCAGAACUUUCAAGAUGAAGCAUUCUAGAACAAAAAAAAUUUAGAGCAAAUCAUUGGACAACACAGCACUCUUGAAUCUUUUGCCACUGUUGCCAUAUAAGAUAGUAAUCGUAAUAGGACUGUGUGUAUUUUUGGACCUAUCUAACCUGCAAAAUUCGAGAACCAGGACACAAAAAACAGCGUUACAGUCAUUUUUUCAUUUGGAAGAGACACACUGAUUGAUUAUGUUACAUUCAGAGCUGUUCUCAUGUCCAUCUCAUUUUACUCUUAUGUGACAAGCCAUUCAGAGCAAUUUUUUAAUUUUAAUUUCUCCAGCUCACCUUUACCUGUGUCUGAAUUUAUCUGAACAGUGUUAUUUAUCUGAAUUUAACAGCGUUAAACAUUACAGAAAGCCUUGCUGUAUCGGUCUUAUUUUGUGGCAUUACAGGAACACUGUGUUUAAGACUUAGUGAUAUCUAGUGGUGAAGGUGCAGAUUGCAGGACAUGAAUGAGCUGCUACCCUCACUCUUGUCUUGCAGGUGCACAGAAAGUCCCUGAGUGCAGUGUGAUCUUAAUUCCUGCAGAAACAUACUCUGCUCAUGGUGUAGUCAUGGGUUUGUAAAAUAAGGGAGUGAAUGAAUAACUAAAUGAAUGAAUGAAUUGUUAUUUUCAGGUGCAAAAAAACUCACACAUGGUUUCUUUUCCACUUUAACUGGGAAAUCAGUUUUUCAUGUUUCAUUUGAUGUUAUUUCAAUAAAUUACUGAUGAUAAUACAUAGAAAAAUACAAAAGUAUCAAACUAUGACACACAUAAGUAUGAGUCUUCAUGCACAAAUACAGAAAUUAGAACAAUACAAUAAAUAUGAAAAAAAUUGCACGUGCAGCAAAUACCAAAUUUUUCCUGAUUUGUCUGAGUGUACUUCCUUGGGUGAGUUUUCUAUCACGUUGUUAAUUUUUUUACUGGUCCACAUUCAAAAGGAGACAACGGGAGGUUUUAACAGCUCUGCUACAUGUGUUCAUCUUGUAUAAUCUUCGCUCUGAUUGGUCAAAGUGGCUCUGACUCAUAAAUCAGCUCUGAGUGGUUUUAUUGACCUGCAGCUAUCAGCUGAUUUACAUGUUGAUUCCUGUGACCAGCCGAUACUGAAUCAGGAGGGAGCAUCUGGAAACAAAGAGGAGGAAGAGGAGGGGGAGGAGGGUCUGGUUAGGGGCUACAGAGGCCUUAGAGGGACAGUUCACCCAUAAAAGAGAGGACGAGGAGGAAGAAUCAGAAUGCAAACAAUCCGUCUGGACAGCAGUAGAUUUAUCAUCUCAUAAUGAUGGUGGUUGAUGAAGACAGAUGAUUUGCAUCAGCCCAAAUGUUCCUUUUAAGAGAAGCGUACUGCAAAUGCAGAAACAACUUCACUUUAAAAUAUAUGCAGCGGUCCAAAAACAGUCACUCUGAGCCCCUGCAGGCCUGAAGCAUCUCUGUUCAAAAAAAGUUUCUAUCUUUAUUUGCAGCUAAUUGUUGUUUCUGUAUUUUUUUCUUUGUAUCGUGUGUAUUUGAAAAGCAUUCACUGUUCAUUCAGCCGUGUUGUUUGCAGCACGUUUCACCUGAUGAAAAUCGCUGCAAGGUUUGUCCUUAUUAGUCAUCAUACAAAACUGAGACUAUAAUGUAAAGAAGGGAAACUUAAUAGUUACUUGGUGGUUAUGAAAAAUUGAAUCCUAACAGGGUGAGACAAAACACAAGAAAAAGACUCAAGCGUCCACCACCCUCAAGUUGUAAGAGCGUAGACUUUCAAAGCCCCAUGAGGCCGUAACGUCAGUAAUUUGAUUACUUCUCAUUACUGUAAUUGUGGCUCAUCGUGUAUUUUUUUCCCUUAGCUUUGCAUCAGCCAGUACAUAAUUAUUUGCUGUAUUUAUGAACCAUUCCCCCUCAUUGCAAAUAAAGUGGGCCAAUCAUUCAAAAGAGGCGGGUUCUAUAAGAUAGGGUGACCAUAUUUUGACCCUCCAAAAAGAGGACAGGACUACACCAGGGCGGAGUCACAGAGUCGCACUAAGUUAAUUCUGAGUUUUUCGGAUCAAGUGUCUUUUACGCACUUCUAACUCAGUAAGUCCACGUGACACAAAAUCAAAACUUACGUACAAAACCGCGGACAUUUGAAGGAUCUUAUAAACUUCCCCGGACAAAGCCAGACAAGGCCGGACAGCCCUCAAAAAAGAGGAUAUGUGCGGGUAAAAAAGAAUGUAUGGUCACCCUAUAUAAGAUGAUGAAGGAGCAAUGCUUCAACAUGUUUUUAAAACCAAGAUGGCUUCAUUAAAUCCAAGUCUGCAGCUGUUUCAAAUCAAAUAGAUGAUUCAUUGAUGGGUAAGAAGUGUUUUUCUUUCUCUGCAUGCCUCGGUCUGUUUACGUUGCUUGUCCUUUGCAUUACAUCAUGCACUGCAACACUCUGAUUGGUUGAGAGUCUGACAAGUAACUUCCUGAAUAUUUCUGCUUGCAGAUGUUGCAGUUCAGCAGCCUAAACUAUACCAACACUGUGAAUAAAUGAGAAAAAAAAGACAUUCAGGCAAGAGUACAGGAGUUGAGUUUGGCCCACGGUUCACCCAGAGUGGCGCUAAUUCCCCCUGCUGGUCACAUGUUGUAUUACACUGAGGAGUCUUUGCAACACAGAGAAGCUUUAAAGAAGUUUAGAAAUAUGAUCAUUACAGACUCGAAAACUGGAGAAUAGUUCUUUUCUGGGUGCUUUCUGUAUUCUAUAAUCAAAAUGACAAUAUAUGUAUGAUUUAUGAUAAAGUCCAGACAGUGUUUGAUUCGAAUGGAACUUAAAUCACAAGAAAAACUGCACACAUGCGUCAGACUUUUUUUUUUUUUUUAAAUGGUCUCUCUUUGUAAUGUCUCAGCUGAUCUUUGUCGGGAUGAUAUGAUUUAAAAUAUCUCCUUGAGGGGACAAAAAGGAAAUAUCUGUCCUCAUAAAAGGUUUGAAAUGAGACAUUUGUUCCCUGAUAAUAAUUCAGACCGUUCAAUGUCCUGUUGAGCCGACAAGGACAGAGCAGACAAGGUGAAUUAUUGAUGAAACAAGAUCUGUGGUUUCCUUUAAGAUCGGUUCAAAGAGACGCUCCUCCUACCCCGGAGUCAAACGUCUGUCCACCGGUUCAGCCUGAAUAUGAAUGAAGGCGUUUAAAAUAUCAUUUCACCUCUGGGCAAAAACAUCCAGAGAGAGGGGUUAGAAAAAGAGGGAGAGAGAAGGAGAGAGGGGGUGAAGAAACAGAGGGGAUUUCCUCCGGGCGUCCAGCCAGCCUGCAGCCGCCUCAGAGUUCAUCUCCAUCAUUAAAACUCCAUUUUAGAGACUCAGGACUCAGUUUAACAGCAGCUGGCCUCAUAUAUCACUGCACACGCACGCACACACACACACACACACGCACACACAGACACACACAGUAUCUCCACACGGAAAACAUCCUUCACUUUCAGGAAGUUGGAGGGAAUUUCAGAUUAAAAGCUUUUCUUGUGAGUCAGAAUACAAAAGCAGACUGAAGAAGUCCUGGACCUGUGACCGAGUUUGGACCGAGUCACGCCCUUUGACCUCCAUCCAGACCUGGAUACAAAUAAACCGAAUCUCAACUUGAACAUGGACCUGGACAUGGUCAUUUUGGCUACAACUUGACAUAGUCACACAUAUCGACUGUAUAAAGAAGUCUGAGAACAGCACCCUCUGGUGACGGGCUGCAGUAUAGGUCAUAACUCCCGCAAAGCUUAUAGGGCUGUGGACAAACUUUAGAAACUUAGCGCACAGAAUAUAAUUUUUGCUCCUCUCCGCUCACGAUUUUCUGUACAGCUCCGUUUUUAAAAUGUAUUAUUCAUGUUUUCUAUGAUUGACACUUGAUACAGCCUAUGGGCAGAAAAUGGUUUGUUUGGGACAUAGUCUGGGACAAGUACAUGACCUGGACAUGGUCCUGUGUAAAAAAACCCUGAUUUAUAUUUUAGCCCAGAUAUGGACCUUGAUCUAAAAUGGACAAGAUCCAAGAUGGACACAAUGUGAAGGUGAAACAAAGGUCUAGAUAACAUCAGGAGCAGACCGUCCUCUAAAUCUCAGUGCUUUGAGGUGUUAUUUGGAUAACAAUAAACAUUAAAUCACAAAAAGAGGGCAAAAGAUGCUCUCUAUAAAAAAAUAAAAAUACUUAAUUAUCACAGUCUGGUUAUUUUCUGUAACUUUUUACAUAUGACUGUACUUGAUCUUGAUCAGGAGUCAAACAGACCUGGUAAAACAGCCUGUCUGUUGUCUUUCAAUGAUGCUGCCAUUUCAAAUCCCAGCAGAUGGCGCUGUUUUGACCCAUAGUGCUGAACAAAAACGUCAAUAUUAAAACUUUUAUUUUGUCUGUUUAUAGGACAGAAAAGUGGCUGAAAUUAGUUUUUGGAAAUAAUAAUAAUUCAUAUAUUAUAUCAAGAACAUUCAGGAGUUUGUUGGACAGGUGCCAGUUCACGUCUGUCAGUUGACACUGCCCUCUAGUGGCAGGUGAAUAAGGUUUCCCUCUCAUUUGAACUGACAUGUAAACCUUAAUAAUAGGUUCACUAGGAUCAUGUGACUCAAAGGUCAGAGUUGAACCAGGAAAUAUUCACGGACACAAAGCAUCAACGGUUUUGUCUUUCUGGUCGUGUGAGCCGUGGAGAUCGAUCAAGAAGUGGUCGUAAGUUUUAAACUUUCUUUUAUUUAAAAAAAAAAAACCUUUUCCUGCAUUUUAAAAGAUAUUGAACACUUUAUUAGACAUGGACCUCCUAUCCCCCAACCCC
Xyrichtys novacula (pearly razorfish) is the source of this 5905-nucleotide non-coding RNA. The record is from the annotation of a GenBank genome assembly. Lineage: Eukaryota; Metazoa; Chordata; Actinopteri; Labriformes; Labridae.